CCUACGGGAGGCAGCAGUGGGGAAUAUUGGGCAAUGGGCGCAAGCCUGACCCAGCAACGCCGCGUGAAGGAAGAAGGCUUUCGGGUUGUAAACUUCUUUUAAGAGGGAAGAGCAGAAGACGGUACCUCUUGAAUAAGCCACGGCUAACUACGUGCCAGCAGCCGCGGUAAUACGUAGGUGGCAAGCGUUGUCCGGAUUUACUGGGGGUAAAGGGCGUGCAGCCGGGAAGACAAGUCAGAUGUGAAAUCCCGCGGCUCAACCGCGGAACUGCAUUUGAAACUGUUUUUCUUGAGUACCGGAGAGGUCAUCGGAAUUCCUUGUGUAGCGGUGAAAUGCGUAGAUAUAAGGAAGAACACCGGUGGCGAAGGCGGAUGACUGGACGGCAACUGACGGUGAGGCGCGAAAGCGUGGGGAGCAAACAGGAUUAGAUACCCCAGUAGUC
This 442-nucleotide ribosomal RNA is filed under the name uncultured bacterium. RNAcentral describes it as "partial 16S ribosomal RNA". It matches the Rfam family "Bacterial small subunit ribosomal RNA", at positions 338 to 795 of the family's 1533-position model. The record is from RNAcentral.